RNAcentral lists this ribosomal RNA (889 nucleotides) under uncultured bacterium. Its description in RNAcentral is "bacterial SSU rRNA". It matches the Rfam family "Bacterial small subunit ribosomal RNA", at positions 8 to 916 of the family's 1533-position model. The record is from RNAcentral.
AGAGUUUGAUCCUGGCUCAGGAUGAACGCUGGCGGCGUGCUUGAUACAUGCAAGUCGAACGGAGAGUGUAGCAAUAUACUUUUAGUGGCGAACGGGUGAGUAACGCGUUGGUGACCUGCCCCGAAGCGAGGGAUAACAGUUCGAAAGAACUGCUAAUACCUCAUGUGAUCACCGGUUUUAGAAUCUGGUGAUUAAAGGUGAAAAUCACUUCGGGAGGGGCCUGCGUCCCAUCAGCUAGUUGGUAAGGUAAUGGCUUACCAAGGCGAUGACGGGUAGGGGACCUGAGAGGGUGGCCCCCCACAAUGGAACUGAAACACGGUCCAUACACCUACGGGUGGCAGCAGUAGGGAAUAUUGCAAAUGGGCGAAAGCCUGAUGUAGCAACGCCGCGUGUGCGAUGAAGGUCUUCGGGUUGUAAAGCACUUUUGAGAAGGAUGAGAAAGGACAGUACUUUUCGAAUAAGUCUCGGCUAACUACGUGCCAGCAGCCGCGGUAACACGUAGGGUGCGAGCGUUAAUCGGAAUUACUGGGCGUAAAGCGUGCGCAGGCGGUUUUUUAAGACAGGCGUGAAAUCCCCGGGCUCAACCUGGGAACUGCGCUUGUGACUGCUAAGCUAGAGUACGGCAGAGGGGGGUGGAAUUCCACGUGUAGCAGUGAAAUGCGUAGAGAUGUGGAGGAACACCGAUGGCGAAGGCAGCCCCCUGGGCCGAUACUGACGCUCAUGCACGAAAGCGUGGGUAGCAAACAGGAUUAGAUACCCUGGUAGUCCACGCCCUAAACGAUGUCAACUAGGUGUUGGGAGGGUAAAACCUUUUAGUACCGGAGCUAACGCGUGAAGUUGACCGCCUGGGGAGUACGGCCGCAAGGUUAAAACUCAAAGGAAUUGACGG